Molecule: small nuclear RNA, 149 nt
Filed under: Crocodylus porosus (Australian saltwater crocodile)
Lineage: Eukaryota; Metazoa; Chordata; Crocodylia; Crocodylidae
Description: U1 spliceosomal RNA (ENSCPRG00005011152.1)
Source: RNAcentral
GUACUAAUCUGUCAGGGGAGACACCAUGAUCGAUCAGGUGGUUUUCCCAGGGCAGGUGAUUGUCUCUGAUGUGUCCACCAUCCGAGGUCUAUAUUGAGCAGAUUCUUUUUGGUGUUGGGUGGUGGAACCGGAGCUUGCUCCAUCCACUC